CUACGGGUGGCUCCAGUGGGGAAUAUUGCGCAAUGGGCGAAAGCCUGACGCAGCAACGCCGCGUGAGCGAUGAAGGCCCUCGGGUUGUAAAGCUCUGUUGGAAGGAAAGAUGGGUUUAAGAGUUAAUACCUCUUAGGCUUGACGGUACCUUCAAAGAAAGCACCGGCUAACUCUGUGCCAGCAGCCGCGGUAAUACAGAGGGUGCAAGCGUUGUUCGGAAUCAUUGGGCGUAAAGCGCGCGUAGGCGGCCAAAUAAGUCUGAUGUGAAAGCCCAGGGCUCAACCCUGGAAGUGCAUCGGAAACUGUUUGGCUCGAGUCCCGGAGGGGGUGGUGGAAUUCCUGGUGUAGAGGUGAAAUUCGUAGAUAUCAGGAGGAACACCGGUGGCGAAGGCGACCACCUGGACGGUGACUGACGCUGAGGUGCGAAAGCAUGGGUAGCAAACAGGAUUAGAUACCCCGGUAGUC
Molecule: ribosomal RNA, 465 nt
Filed under: uncultured bacterium
Lineage: Bacteria
Description: partial 16S ribosomal RNA
Rfam family: Bacterial small subunit ribosomal RNA
Source: RNAcentral